UACGUAGGGGGCUAGCGUUGUCCGGAUUUAUUGGGCGUAAAGAGCGUGUAGGCGGCCAUGUAGGUCCGGUGUGAAAACUCGAGGCUUAACCUCGAGAUGUCAUCGGAAACCAUUUGGCUAGAGUCCGGAAGAGGAGAGUGGAAUUCCUGGUGUAGCGGUGAAAUGCGCAGAUAUCAGGAAGAACACCCGUGGCGAAGGCGGUUCUCUGGGACGGUACUGACGCUGAGACGCGAAAGCGUGGGGAGCGAACAGG
RNAcentral lists this ribosomal RNA (253 nucleotides) under uncultured bacterium. Its description in RNAcentral is "partial 16S ribosomal RNA". It matches the Rfam family "Bacterial small subunit ribosomal RNA", at positions 524 to 776 of the family's 1533-position model. The record is from RNAcentral.